GACGAACGCUGGCGGCGUGCUUAACACAUGCAAGUCGAACGGCAAGGCCCUGCUUUUGUGGGGUUCUCGAGUGGCGAACGGGUGAGUAACACGUGAGUAACCUGCCCUUGACUUUGGUAUAACUUCAGGAAACUGGGGCUAAUACCGUAUAGCAUCUCCUGUUGCAUGGUGGGGGUUGGAACGUUUCGGCGGUUGGGGAUGGACGCGCGGCUUAUCAGCUUGUUGGUGGGGUAGUGGCUUACCAAGGCUUUGACGGGUAGCCGGCCUGAGAGGGUGACCGGCCACAUUGGGACUGAGAGACGGCCCAGACGCCUACGGGAGGCAGAAGUGGGGAAUAUUGCACAAUGGGCGGAAGCCUGAUGCAGAAACGCCGCGGGCGGGAUGACGGCCUUCGGGUUGUAAACCGCUUUCGCCUGUGACGAAGCGUGAGUGACGGUAAUGGGUAAAGAAGCACCGGCUAACUACGUG
RNAcentral lists this ribosomal RNA (468 nucleotides) under uncultured bacterium. RNAcentral's name for it is "partial 16S ribosomal RNA". It matches the Rfam family "Bacterial small subunit ribosomal RNA", at positions 28 to 507 of the family's 1533-position model. The record is from RNAcentral.